UACAGAGGGUGCAAGCGUUAAUCGGAAUUACUGGGCGUAAAGCGUGCGUAGUCGGUUAUUUAAGUCGGAUGUGAAAUCCCCGGGCUCAACCUGGGAAUUGCCUUUGAUACUGGGGAUCUUGAGUCCGGGAGAGGUGAGUGGAAUUGCGAGUGUAGAGGUGAAAUUCGUAGAUAUUCGCAAGAACACCAGUGGCGAAGGCGGCUCACUGGCCCGGUACUGAAGCUGAGGUGCGAAAGCGUGGGGAGCAAACAGG
This 253-nucleotide ribosomal RNA is filed under the name uncultured bacterium. RNAcentral describes it as "partial 16S ribosomal RNA". It matches the Rfam family "Bacterial small subunit ribosomal RNA", at positions 524 to 776 of the family's 1533-position model. The record is from RNAcentral.